UGACCUGCCUAGGCUGCAAUAUGUAUAUUUUUAUGGUAACUGAGCUCCCAAAUGCAAUUCAAUAUAGUUGCCUGUAGAUGAAUUUCAUUAAUUUUAGAAUAAGCAACAUACCAUAUUUUGAUGCGCUUUUAAUGUUGUGCACUAUACUUAGAAAACAAUAGGGCAUAGGUUUUAGGCUUUGGUAGAUAUGUAAGAUCUGGCAAACAAAAACAACACGAUUUUAAAGAAGUGUUUCACAUGUGAAAUCAUUUUAUACGAAGGGUCUAAUUUGGCAUUAAUUAAAAAUGACAAAUUGGUGUUGUUUCAAGUAUAACUAAAGUUUUUUUAACUCUACCAUUCCCAUUCUUUUUCAAAUGAAGUUUUCUGACAGUAUCACUGUUAUGGUUAACUAUUGGAGCAUAUUUUUACCGGAAGUGACGCAAAAUAGAAGUGUUUUACCCAUUUUCAGGAGGCGGUCGAAAAUAGGUUGUGGUCGUAAAUAGGUUGUUCCGAGAUAUGUGAGAGUGCAGCUUUAAGGAGUACUUCGUUAUAUCAAUAAAAUAUACUCGUUAAACUGUCAAUUGUUUACGUAUCUACAUAAAUUCAAUUACCUUUUGAACUCGAAAGUGUUAUAUUUUCAAAGAAAAUAACCAUUUACCUCUGUUCAGUGUCGGUCAAAUUCGAUGUUUUGAAUCACUCUAGCGCGUGCUAAAUACUAAAUGACGCAAUGUUUUGGACUGGUCUUCAUUUUCUUCGAUACAGGCACAACCGAGCGUAAAUAUUAAGCGAGAAAGUCUAGUGGAACGAUGCAGGGUUCAUUGGGCCACUCCUUUUUUAUUUUUUGGUUUACAAGAAUUUUUGGAAAAACUGUCCACCGGGUGGUCGAAAAAAAAAAAAAAAAAAAGGUAAAAAGUCACAAAACAUACUCUUAAAGGGUGAAAGUCAGAGAACAACAUAAAUACAUUGAUAAUUUAUAUCAUUUACUUGACAUUUUAAAUUUUUAAACUAAUAUUAAUGCAUGUUUUAAUACACUCAAAGUUUCAAGGUUCUAAUUAAACACACAGUUUAAAUCUUACAUACUGUGCAUAUAAAACAUCAAUGAUAUUACUAUAAAACAUGUUUACAUGUAUAAACUACACUUUUUAUCAAAGAUACAUUGAAUAUUACUCAGCAGGACAUUUGUUUAGCUUUAAGGGUAUGCUAAAGCAAAAGUGAAUGCAGAACACUUAAAAACUGACCAAUAUUAAAUUGGAAAAAAGGGAAGGCAAAUUUUACGCUUUAAAAUACACAAGAAUUGCACUGUAUUAAGACAACACAUUACAUUUUCUAAGCAUUGUUUCAGUUAUUUCAAUAUUGGAAAAUGUCAAUAAAGUGAAAUAAUUUCCAAUUUUGUAAAUAAGGAAGUAAUAUUGUAUGAAGACAUUGUGCUUUAAUAUUGUGCAAACAAUUCCUGAAAAACUAAAAACCAAACUAGACCUAGAUUUGAGUUUUAAUAACCUUUACCAUGCGGGGUCCUAGUUGUGUGUAACCCAAUCCAUGCUAAGUCCGGAUAUUUUCGGACCGGGAUAUUUACCAUGCGAUGUUCAGCAAAUCCAUUUCGGAUUCAAAUCUUGCAGCAAAUUACCACAUCAGUACAUAAAAAUCACAUAGCAAAAUAAUAAAUCUAGCAUGUGACUUAACUUUAUGUACCAAUGAUAGCAACAGUGAAAUCCAUAAUUAUUUAUCGGAUAUUUUCAUCUUCUCCCAACUCCGCCAUUUUGUGUAUCAUGCGUUCACAGGGCAUCUAUACUUCAUGAUUGUUUAUUUUUCAUUUUAAAGAGAAUUCCUUGGUUACAACAACAAAUCUCAUUUAUAGUGAAAUAUCAAGUUCAUAACAAAUUAAAAUGGACUUAUUCAAAAUAGUUUUCCGUGUUGUUUUAUCUUAAUGUUUUGCACACAACUCCUGGCAUUAGUAAAUUGCAUUGACACAUGUGUUCAACUCUUUCAUUGUUUUUACUCUACUAUUAACCCAAACAUGAAUAAACAUUGUAAUCUAGAAUAAACCCAAGCUUUACAUUGACUCAAUGACCAGUAUUUCCAAACCAGUUUGUGAUUUAAAAUCCAUAAAGAGAACCGACCGAACUUGUGAAACUAGAUCACCGGUGUCAACUUAAAAAUUUUACUUUCGAUUUCACCACUCACACUAAGUGCACUGUUAUUUUAUAUUAACCAUAAAAUGUUAUAAAAUAUUUUUCUCACACAUAAUUUACAGAUAUUUGUGUCUACUUAUUCGAUGGCAGCCGCUGCCACUUAUUUUUCAUCUAUAAACAACAAUAUUUUCAUGACCUAAAUUUGCGGGGAAAAACAACAAUCACGUGACCGUUAUUGUUUGUGUCGGCUGUUAAAUUUGCCAAUGUAUUUUGCUAUUGUUAUUUUAACAACUCCUGCAUAUUUAACUUAAUUAUUUUUAUACAAAGAAUGACUGCUAUCGUCAAUUUCGCCAUUGCCAACGGCGCUGCCAUAACAGUUGACUGGCUCACAUGUUAUCACUAUAAAUCGGCGAAUACGACUACGGAACAACAAACCAGUCGAGAUCUACUGCAUUCGUACUCUUAUCCGUUCGUUUUUCUUUCGUUUCGCACCAAAAUCAAUACGGUCGGGAAAAUGAUCUUUAAAAAAAAAAGUGAAAUUCAUUUUUUAUUUUUUUUGUACUUUUCGGAAAAUUAGACCCGCCGGUUUUGUUAACCAAUUUAUAUAAAAGUAGUGGCCUUGGGUUUGUUUACAAAAAUUCAAGCAUCCGGUUAAGAAGACGACAAAUAAGAAUGGUAUUAAGUUGGUAGAAUGGAACUCCUUCCUGAUUCCUGCACAUGUAAGUUACCAGAUACUUUUGAGGGACCAAUUUAAGGGCAAACAGACAAACGUUUUGAUGCAAAGAAAGCAUUGGAUUUGAAAGUUCCCAUGGAGAAGAAAAAUGGAGAGAUUCUAAAAGUAUGAAGAUACUCCUGUGUAUAAUGAGGAAAUCUUGUCAGUGAAUGUUGUUGCAAUUGUGGACCAGGCCAGAGUUGUACUAAACCAACUAAGACACAAUGAGAUACAGGAAUGACACAAUGAGAAACAGGAAACAGGAAAGUGAUGAAUGAUCGCCACCUGUUACAAAUUCAUCUAGAAAACUCCCCACAUCCAACAAGAGACAGUCUGACUUCAAAAUCUUCAUUGAAGGCAACUUAAUGGACAAGACAUCCAUCACAUAAAGAUUCACUAAAAUUGGAAUGAUAUACCAAUUUUAACUUUUAACAGACAAAUACAUUAUAGAUUUGAAAAUAGAUUACCCUUAAAUAAGUUGGAUGAUUAACAUUUACCUCAACACAGUACAAAGUGCUCAUGUUGAACUAUUGUGAUUGAUCAUAGUCUGUCCUUCAUUUUUAUUAACAGUUUCAUACAGUGUUAACACUUUAGUAUGGGGACUCAUUUUUAGCUCAACUUUUCAAAGAAUAUGGAGAGCUAUACUACUCACCCAAGCGUCGGCGUCACCCCUUGGUUAAGGGUUUGCGUGCAAGCACACAUAGGUUAAUAUCUCAGCAACUACUUGAGGUAUUGCAUUGAGACUUUAUACAAUAGUACUCAACCAUCCAACCUACUUAAUUAACCAAGUUUGAUAACUCUACUUUGCAUUUAAUGCCAAUAAUAGGCCUUUAAUAUUUGACUUAGAAAUUCUGGUUAAGGUUUUGUAUGCAAGCACACAUAGGUUAAUAUCUCAGCAACUACUUGAGGUAUUGCAUUGAGACUUGAUACAAUGGUACUCAACCAUCCAACCUACUUAUUUAAACAAGUAAGAUAACUCUAGUUUGCAUUUAAUGUAAAUAAUAGGCCUUUAUUAUUUGACUUAGAAAUUCUGGUUAAGGUUUUGCAUGCAAGCACACAUAGGUUAAUAUCUCAGCAACUGCUUGAGGUAUUGCAUUGAGACUUGAUACAAUGGUACUCAACCAUCCAACCUACUUAUUUAAACAAGUAAGAUAACUCUUGUUUGCAUUUAAUGUACAUAAUAGGCCUUUAUUAUUUGACUUAGAAAUUCUGGUUAAGGUUUUGCAUGCAAGCACACAUAGGUUAAUAUCUCAGCAACUGCUUGAGGUAUUGCAUUGAGACUUGAUACAAUGGUACUCAACCAUCCAACCUACUUAUUUAAACAAGUAAGAUAACUCUUGUUUGCAUUUAAUGUACAUAAUAGGCCUUUAUUAUUUGACUUAGAAAUUCUGGUUAAGGUUUUGCAUGCAAGCACACAUAGGUUAAUAUCUCAGCAACUGCUUGAGGUAUUGCAUUGAGACUUGAUACAAUGGUACUCAACCAUCCAACCUACUUAAUUUUCCAAGUUAUAUAACUAUAGUUUGCAUUUAAUGCAAAUACUUGCCUUUAUUAUUUCACUCAGAAAUUCUGGUUAAGGUUUUGCAUGUAAGCACACAUAGGUUAAUAUCUCAGCAACUACUGGAUGAAUUGCAUUGAGACUUUAUACAACCACCCAACCUAAUUGAAUAAUCAAAUUAGAUAAAAAUUCUGGUUAAAAUUUUGCAUGUAUCUCCGCACAUCAUGUAUUGCAUUGAAAUCUAAUCUAACAAUGAUCCAUGCAUGUUUCGCCAAAACUUUUCAAUCCUUACACUGAAAAGCAGCGGAAUAGUCGAGAGCGCUGUCUCUGUGACAGCUCUUGUCUCUUUGGUCUUUAUUCAUACUGGCCAGAAUAUGUUUACCAAAAAAAUCUUAGUAGAGAUUGAUAACUGUUCAGGUUGGACAAAAAGCAUGUAGGUUGUUUGUUCUAAUAAUAUAAACUGUAAAUGCUUCAGAAACUAUAUAUAUAAUUUUUCAUGAUAUUUGUCAGUAUUUAUUCUCGUCAACAUUUAAAUAAUAUUAGGUGAAACUUGUUUAUUGGUCAAAAUGUGUUUGAUUAGAGUGGCCUCAAGUUCCACUUCAUAUGAAUGAAAUUUGGUCAAGUUUUAGAAAAAAACUAUGUUCUAGUUUUAUAGGCCAUAUUCUCUUCCCAAGCUUUCCUUAAAGAAUGAAUGUAGGUAAUAUGAAACAGGAGUCACUAAGUCAAGUAUUAAAAACCUUAAAAAUUGCUAUUCAUAGAGGUAUUGUUUCCUCAUCAUAAAUCACAACUAAGCCAGCAAGACUUUUCAACAAAUAAGGCAUAACAUGUAAAAAGUUAAUAAUUAGGCACAUAUUUUAGUGAAUAAAAGCUUGUGAACAUAUUAUUGAAACAAAUAAUGUGUCUGGUUCUGAGGUGAGCAAUAAAGCACAUUGCUUAGUAACAAUUGAGCUAGCUCAUUAUUAAAAGUUUGUUUUAAACUUGAAUUAAAUGAAUGCAAAUCAUAUAUUAUUAUUUUUAAUCUAUAUUUUUUUUUAGUUACAUUGUUCUGUUGUUAAUUUCCAUACUGACUUGGUCAAUUAUGGCUAAUUGUCUAAUUAUAUUUUAACUUCUAACCUAAAUGUUUCAUUGUACUUUUGAGUGUUCUGUUAACUAUAUUGCACAUUACCCUAUAUGACAGUAUAAAUUCAAUAAAACCUUGGUUAUUAAGUUCCAUACAUAUUGGAGCACAUGGUAAGCCUCUAGAAAUGUCACUUCUUAAACCUAGAUUCUUGAUCUGUUCGCCACAUUGUUUUGUUAAUUUUUUGUUUAUAAAAACAAAUGAUUGUUUAAUGUCAAGGAAACCUUUUUAAAGUUAAAAUGUAGAUGUACAUAGAUAACUGUCAAAUAUUAUUUACCAUUUAAUAACUGUCUAAAGGCAAAAUUUCCAUUCAUUUUUAUACGCCCAUCUUGCGAUGGCCGUAUUAUGGGAACACCCAUGGCGGGCGGGCGGGCGGCUCCACAAUGUUGUCCGCUCUCUAACUUGAACAUUUCUCAUCCAAUUUCCACCAAACUUCAUGAAAGUGUUUGUUGGUAAAAUAUCUAGGUCAAGUUCGAUAACCAGCCAAAUCGCUUUAGGCACUCCAGAGUUAUGGCCCCCUGAAUUUGUCCAAAUUGGCCAUUUUAGCUUUGUCCGCUCUCUUACUUGAUCAUUUCUCAUCCAAUUUCCACCAUACGUCAUGAAAGUGUUUGUUGGUGAAAUAUCUCGGUCAAGUUCAAUAAACAGCCAAAUCGCUUUAGGCACUCCAGAGUUAUGGCCCCCUGAAUUUGUCAAAAUUGUCCAUUUUAGCUUUGUCCGCUCUCUAACUUGAACAUUUCUCAUCCAAUUUCCACCAAACUUCAUGAAAGUGUUUGAGGUGAAAUAUCUAGGUCAAGUUCGAUAACCAGCCUAAUCGCUUUAGGCACUCCAGAGUUAUGGCCCCCUGAAUUUAUCAAAAUUGGCCAUUUUAGCUUUGUCUACUCUCAAACUUGAACAGUUUUUAUCCGAAUUUCACCAAACUUGCUACUAUAAAUGUUUGUUGGUAUAUAUUCUUGGCAAAGUUCUAUAACCAGCCAGGCUCUUCAGGAUUAUGGCCCUUGAAUUGGUCAAAAUUUGCCAUUUUUGCUUUGUCCACUGUAAUUUGAACAGUUAUCAUCUGAUCUUCACCAAACUUGCUGAAAAUAUUUGUUGGUAAAAUAAAUCGGUCAAGUAUGAUAAUCAGCCAAAUGCCCCGAAGCACUUCAGGAUUACUGCCCUUGCCAUUUAAGCUUUGUCUACUCUCUAACUUGAACAAUUCUCAUCUGACCUUCACCAAACUUGCUGAAAAUGUUUGUAGCUAUAAAAUCUUUACCAAGAAUGUUUGCCGGUAUAAAUGCUUUGCCAAGUACACACUGAUUGUCUCUUGGGUACGAUUAAGGAUGAAUUUAGAAUCCAAGAAAUUAUUGAUGGGCGAAUUUUGUGAGUGUCACUCUUGUUAUAUUUGAUUUGGGUCCCUAGGUCACUGUAACUAAAAAUAGAAAAAUGCUUGGUACUGAAUAACUUCAGUUUUAAUACAUUUAAAACUGAAUCUCACAAUAAAGGCUGAAGUUCUUGUUGCAUUGCAGCAUUUCUAGUUAACUUUUUAAUUUGACUCUUUUUAUUGCUUUCGACAGGCACAUAUUACAUCAUUAUUGUAUUCAUUUUUAAGACAAAGCCUCAUUUAAUUGAGCGUGCUGUCCAAAGACAGCUCUUGUUGACAUAAUUAUAAGACACCUUAUGUUAUGGUUUAUAUGAACAAUAGCUGUUUCUGUGUAUGUUUUAGAAGAAACUUCCAUUUCUUAUCAUAUUGAUGGACAUAGAUAUACAUACAUGUACGGGAUUAUUGACAUCAGAUUCUUAGGAUUAAAUUUACUAAUGUUCUGUUCAUGUUCAAAAUAGAUACAGUUAUGGUAAAUG
Molecule: long non-coding RNA, 7265 nt
Organism: Mya arenaria
Lineage: Eukaryota; Metazoa; Mollusca; Bivalvia; Myida; Myidae
Exons: 5
Source: RefSeq, a predicted model, not a curated record